UACGAAGGGGGCUAGCGUUGUCCGGACUUACUGGGCGUAAAGCGCGCGCAGGCGGCACUGUAAGUAAGGUGUGAAAUAUCCCUGCUCAACGGGGAGGGUGCAUUUUAGACUGCAGAGCUAGAGGACGGUAGAGGGGGGUGGAAUUGCUGGUGUAGCGGUGAAAUGCGUAGAUAUCUGGAGGAACACCGGUGGCGAAGGCGGCAUCCUGGACCGACACUGACACUGAGGAGCGAAAGCCAGGGGAGCAAACGGG
This 253-nucleotide ribosomal RNA is filed under the name uncultured bacterium. Its description in RNAcentral is "partial 16S ribosomal RNA". It matches the Rfam family "Bacterial small subunit ribosomal RNA", at positions 524 to 776 of the family's 1533-position model. The record is from RNAcentral.